Molecule: ribosomal RNA, 440 nt
Filed under: uncultured bacterium
Lineage: Bacteria
Description: partial 16S ribosomal RNA
Rfam family: Bacterial small subunit ribosomal RNA
Source: RNAcentral
CCUACGGGUGGCAGCGGUGGGGGAUAUUGCACAAUGGGGGGAACCCUGAUGCAGCGACGCCGCGUGGGUGAAGAAGCGCCUCGGCGCGUAAAGCCCUGUCAGCAGGGAAGAAAAGGACGGUACCUGAAGAAGAAGCCCCGGCCAAUUACGUCCAAGCAGGCGCGGAUAUACGUAGGGGGCAAGCGUUAUCCGGAUUUACUGGGUGUAAAGGGGGCGCAGACGGCGAUGCAAGCCAGUAGGGAAAGCCCGGGGCCCAACCCCGGGACUGCGCUUGGAACUGCGUGGCUGGAGUGCAGGAGGGGCAGGCGGAAUGCCUGGUGUAGCGGUGAAAUGCGUAGAUAUCAGGAGGAACACCGGUGGCGAAGGCGGCCUGCUGGACUGCAACUGACGUUGAGGCCCGAAAGCGUGGGGAGCAAACAGGAUUAGAUACCCCUGUAGUC